This 207-nucleotide long non-coding RNA is filed under the name Mytilus galloprovincialis (Mediterranean mussel). Lineage: Eukaryota; Metazoa; Mollusca; Bivalvia; Mytilida; Mytilidae. The record is from RNAcentral.
GAAAAUUUUAAGUUCGUACGAAGUUGGUCCCGAUCUCGUUAAAAUACCAAAAAGUGACCGAAGCAAGUACGAUGAAUAACGAAGUCUAUAACGAUGGUGCUGAAAUUAUAUACGAUAGCAAAAGAUGGACAUACGAAGGUUAAUCGAAGACGGGUAUUUAAGCUUCAUAUCUCAGCCGAAGCCUUCGCGAUGGAUCACGAAGGCUAC